This 208-nucleotide ribosomal RNA is filed under the name uncultured Chlamydiales bacterium. RNAcentral's name for it is "partial 16S ribosomal RNA". It matches the Rfam family "Bacterial small subunit ribosomal RNA", at positions 305 to 505 of the family's 1533-position model. The record is from RNAcentral. Lineage: Bacteria; Pseudomonadati; Chlamydiota; Chlamydiia; Chlamydiales.
CGCCAACACUGGGACUGAGACACUGCCCAGACUCCUACGGGAGGCUGCAGUCGAGAAUCUUUCGCAAUGGACGAAAGUCUGACGAAGCGACGCCGCGUGUGUGAUGAAGGCCUUAGGGUUGUAAAGCACUUUCGCCUGGGAAUAAGAGAGAUUGGCUAAUAUCCAAUCGAUUUGAGCGUACCAGGUAAAGAAGCACCGGCUAACUCCA